Molecule: small nucleolar RNA, 98 nt
Organism: Ailuropoda melanoleuca (giant panda)
Lineage: Eukaryota; Metazoa; Chordata; Mammalia; Carnivora; Ursidae
Source: Ensembl
AUCCUUUUGUAAUUCAUAAACAUGAUGAUUGCAAACUGUUGUGUGACAUGUGCCUCCCUCAAACCUUGUUAUGACCUUGGCACAUUACCCAUCUGACG